RNAcentral lists this long non-coding RNA (496 nucleotides) under Homo sapiens (human). Its description in RNAcentral is "HSALNT0193584". The record is from RNAcentral. Lineage: Eukaryota; Metazoa; Chordata; Mammalia; Primates; Hominidae.
AUUCACGCUAAAAAAGUCAAGAGGUAGAACAAAGCCAGGUAUGUUAUUCUAAUCGAUGGUCCCUCACUUAAGGGGGAACAUCAACAGUGAGGAAGAGUCAUUCCUUUUCCAUUAGUUACCAUAUUUUUAUUCUAUUAGUUUUAAUGAACGAUUUUGUUCAUUAAGCUAGAGCGGGGCUCUCCCAGUGCUCAGAAGCAAAGCAGCAGCCUGUUGGAUCAGCCUGCUCUCACCUCCCUGCUUCCCUUGCUUCUUGGGAAAUCAUCCUGGAGCCACAGGUGGGCAAUGAAGAUUUUGCUCUGAGAAGGCUCUAACAUAGAUCAGACAAGUUCCUUAGAAUUAACUCCUAGGCCACUUGGUUUUCAAGGCCAUCUAUUCGCCCUUGGUCUAUUUUCUAUCACAGAUGAUGAUGGCACAUAGCCCAUGUCCUGCUGUGGGAUUAAAGGACAGCAUUACCAUACUUCAAAACCAAAAUACCAAAUUAUAAAGAUGCAUCCAA